This 438-nucleotide ribosomal RNA is filed under the name uncultured bacterium. Its description in RNAcentral is "bacterial SSU rRNA". It matches the Rfam family "Bacterial small subunit ribosomal RNA", at positions 29 to 505 of the family's 1533-position model. The record is from RNAcentral.
UUGAACGCUGGCGGCGUGGCUAAAACAUGCAAGUCAGGGAGAUCCCCGCAAGGGGUGACACCGGCGGAAGGGUGAGUAAUACAUUCGAACGUACCCCGAGGUGGGGGAUAGGCGUGGGAAACUGCGCGUAAUACCCCAUGAGCUCUCCGGAGGAAAGCCGCAAGGCGCCUUGGGAGCGGCGAAUGUCCUAUCAGGUAGUUGGCGGGGUAAAGGCCCACCAAGCCGAAGACGGGUAGCAGGUGUGAGAGCACGGCCUGCCACAUCGGGACUGAGACACUGUCCGGACUCCUACGGGAGGCUGCAGUAACGAAUAUUCCGCAAUGGACGAAAGUCUGACGGAGCGACGCCGCGUGCAGGAAGAAGUCCCUCGGGAUGUAAACUGCUGUCAGGGGUGAGGAACACAAUGACCAACCCCAGAGGAAGCCACGGCUAACUCCG